This is a long non-coding RNA of Brassica oleracea var. oleracea, 912 nucleotides long. RefSeq lists it as uncharacterized. The record is from RefSeq and is a predicted model, not a curated record. The transcript has 4 exons. NCBI's taxonomy places the organism in Eukaryota, Viridiplantae, Streptophyta, Magnoliopsida, Brassicales, Brassicaceae.
CACACAUGUCCGCAUGUGGGCAAACCUCAACUAUAAUUUUUUCUUUUCUUUUCUCUCCCUUUUCUCUUUGUCGUGUCGUCUUCUCUUUGUUUUCUCCGACGAUGGCGAUCAAUUGUUUGAAGGUCUUGAUUGUGAGGCUAAAGAGAAGAUCGCUAGAGAGUUAGCUAAACUCGUGUUUGGAUCACAAGAGAGCUUUGUCUCCAUCUGUUUGAGCAGUUUCUCAUUGAAAUAUUUGUGGAAUAAAAGGUCGAGAGAUGAGGAGAUCAAUUGGUUUCCGUUUGUGGAAGAUCUGAGCCAGAGUUGGUCGAUACUUGGAAGAGUAGAGCCAUCCACUCUUUCUCUCUCUCCGUAGCGUUCAUCUUCUUCCUCCUCAGUCACAACAGAAGAAAUCGUUUCGUUCUUAUCUCGCCUCCAAGGCUAGGUUUAAUGUUGAAGCAAGAUGUUGGCAAGUAUUCGAUAGGCAAAACAAUUUAUGGAAGUGACAGAGCAAAGCUCAGACCCUCCUUCUACCAGACCAACUGUGGAUUUCGCAAUGGGCGGGGAUAAAGUGACUGAAGAUGGUGUCACCGUUGCUAGAGGCAUUGAGUUGAAGGAUAAAGUGAAGAACGUUGGUGACGGAAACAUGACACAAGACGAGGCACGGACUUGGGUGAGAAGUGUGUUGUGCUGAUGACAGAGGUGAGAAGACGAGGCACAAACUUGGGUGAGAACGACAGAGGUGAGAAGUGUGUUGUGCUGAUGACAGAGGUGAGAAGACGAGUCACGGGUUGUGUAUCUUGUGGUGAAAAGUGGUGAGAAGACGAGUGCUGAUGACAUAGGUGAGAAGUGUGGCUUGGUCUUCUUUUCUAAUCUUUGUUUAUUUUUGUUUUACUAAUCUUUAUUUUAAAAAAAAAAAAAUUUAUGUUUAAAAUG